RNAcentral lists this ribosomal RNA (497 nucleotides) under uncultured bacterium. Its description in RNAcentral is "partial 16S ribosomal RNA". It matches the Rfam family "Bacterial small subunit ribosomal RNA", at positions 28 to 507 of the family's 1533-position model. The record is from RNAcentral.
GACGAACGCUGGCGGCGUGCCUAAUACAUGCAAGUUGAGCGAUGAAGAUUGGUGCUUGCACCAAUUUGAAGAGCAGCGAACGGGUGAGUAACGCGUGGGGAAUCUGCAUUUGAGCGGGGGACAACAUUUGGAAACGAAUGCUAAUACCGCAUCACAACUUUAAACAUAAGUUUUAAGUUUGAAAGAUGCAAUUGCAUCACUCAAAGAUGAUCCCGCGUUGUAUUAGCUAGUUGGUGAGGUAAAGGCUCACCAAGGCGAUGAUACAUAGCCGACCUGAGAGGGUGAUCGGCCACAUUGGGACUGGGACACGGCCCAAACGCCUAAGGGAGGCAGCAGGAGGGGAUUUUCGGCAAGUGACGAAAGUCUGACCGAGCAACGGCGCGGGAGUGAAGAAGGGUUUCGGAUCGGAAAACUCUGUUGGUAGAGAAGAACGUUGGGUAGGGUGGAAAGCUCAUCAAGUGACGGUAACUACCCAGAAAGGGGCGGCUAACUACGUG